ACUACGGGGGGCAGCAGUGGGGAAUAUUGCACAAUGGGGGAAACCCUGAUGCAGCGACGCCGCGUGAGCGAGGAAGUAUUUCGGUAUGUAAAGCCCUAUCAGCAGGGACGAAAAAAGACGGUACCUGACUAAGAAGCCCCGGCUAACUACGUGCCAGCAGCCGCGGUAAUACGUAGGGGGCAAGCGUUAUCCGGAUUUACUGGGGGUAAAGGGAGCGUAGACGGCAAGGCAAGCCAGAAGUGAAAGGGCAGGGCUCAACCCUGUACAUGCUUUUGGAACUGUGGUGCUAGAGUGCAGGAGAGGUAAGUGGAAUUCCUAGUGUAGCGGUGAAAUGCGUAGAUAUUAGGAAGAACACCAGUGGCGAAGGCGGAUUACUGGACGAUAACUGACGGUGAGGCGCGAAAGCGUGGGGAGCAAACAGGAUUAGAUACCCCUGUAGUC
This 441-nucleotide ribosomal RNA is filed under the name uncultured bacterium. RNAcentral's name for it is "partial 16S ribosomal RNA". It matches the Rfam family "Bacterial small subunit ribosomal RNA", at positions 338 to 795 of the family's 1533-position model. The record is from RNAcentral.